UAGUCCACGCCGUAAACGAUGGACACUAGAUGUCGGAGGCUCUUGUCCUUUCGGUGUCGCAGCUAACGCGUUAAGUGUCCCGCCUGUGGAGUACGACCGCAAGGUUAAAACAUAAAGAAAUUGACGGGGGCCCGCACAAGCGGUGGAGUAUGUGGUUUAAUUCGAUGCAACGCGAAGAACCUUACCUGGGUUUGACAUCCCGUGCUACCCUAUGAAAGUAGGGGUUUCUUCGGAACACGGUGCAAGGUGCUGCAUGGUUGUCGUCAGCUCGUGCCGUGAGGUGUUGGGUUAAGUCCCGCAACGAGCGCAACCCCUAUCUCUAGUUGCCAUCAGGUAAUGCUGGGAACUCUAGAGAGACUGCCUACGCAAGUAGUGAGGAAGGCGGGGAUGAUGUCAAAUCAUCAUGGCCCUUAUGGCCAGGGCUACACACGUGCUACAAUGGUAUCGACAAAGGGUCGCAACAUGGUGACAUGAAGCCAAUCCCAAAAACGAUAUCUCAGUUCGG
Molecule: ribosomal RNA, 505 nt
Filed under: uncultured bacterium
Lineage: Bacteria
Description: bacterial SSU rRNA
Rfam family: Bacterial small subunit ribosomal RNA
Source: RNAcentral